This 411-nucleotide long non-coding RNA is filed under the name Rattus norvegicus (Norway rat). Its description in RNAcentral is "long non-coding RNA NONRATT022189". The record is from RNAcentral. Lineage: Eukaryota; Metazoa; Chordata; Mammalia; Rodentia; Muridae.
GCCGCCUAUGUGAUUUCCACCCAAAGAAGUAGAUGCCUAGGCCUUCCGCGUGUCUAAGUCGCCUUCUGUUAGCUCCUCUCAGGAGAUGGUCCCUUGUCAGUUACUAACACUGACAAACCCGCAAAUUCCAGUCACACCCGUUCGUGGCUAUUUCACACUUGCUUCUUUCUUUCCUCAGGGGCGUGCCUGCUGUGGUUGAUUUUGCAGCAAUGCGCGAUGCUGUGAAGAAGUUGGGAGGAAAUCCAGAGAAAAUAAACCCUGUCUGCCCCGCUGACCUUGUAAUCGAUCAUUCCAUCCAGGUUGAUUUCAACAGAAGGGCAGACAGUUUGCAGAAGAAUCAAGACCUGGAAUUUGAAAGGAAUAGAGAACGAUUUGAAUUUUUAAAGUGGGGUUCCCAGGCCUUUUGCAACA